This 1378-nucleotide long non-coding RNA is filed under the name Anas zonorhyncha (Eastern spot-billed duck). Its description in RNAcentral is "lncRNA (ENSAZOG00000003753.1)". Lineage: Eukaryota; Metazoa; Chordata; Aves; Anseriformes; Anatidae. The record is from RNAcentral.
UGGGUAAGGUCCUGUGUGCCUUGCUGCUGAUCUAUGUGUUUCUGUACAAAUGAUAAUGCAAAUAUCCACUGUAAGAGGCAGCUAUCUAUUAACUUUAGCUAACUUGGGGUGACCAAGCUACAGUUUAACAAGUUACUUCAGGAGAAGGAAAGCUAACAAACCAUUUACAACAUCUCUCUCCACAGCAGGCUUUCUGAAGCAUAGGGUUGUGUUGUUGAAAGCUUUCCCUUUCCAAUGGCAGCAGUAGGAUCUUAUUCCUCUUUAAGAACCUAAUGUCAUGCACAAACUGUGCAGACCCAUUACAUUUUUAAAAGGUUUGGCCCUCCAAAUACAACCUAAAACAGGUUCUACCUCAGAAGAUGAGUUGUGUGUAGUAGUAGACCCUGGGCCUGAUCAAGCACAGGUAUAAAACCCCAUGUACGUUCCCUCAUGAAAUAAUGCUAAAACUUUACCUCCAGAGAACACUUGGCCAGACUAGUUUUGAUGUUUUUUAUUAGUAUUAUUUUAUUUUUAUUUUGUUUUGAAGGACUACGCAGCUUCCCGCAUGCCAUGAGCUUUGAGCAGAGAAGGUAUCGAAGGUAGUGAUCUCCCCGGAAAGGAGCGAAGGAGGUGGAUUAGAUCAUGCAUGAUCUGCUCUUUAGAUCAACUGAGCAAAAGUGAGGCAUUCCUGGAGAAGAAAGAGCAAUGCUGCAAGCAAGUCUAUACAGAUGGGUUGCAGGCUGCCCCUUCGCACACAGCACAGCCCCACAACAGGUCAUGGAGAGGAGGCUGUGUCACUUACUGGCCCUAAAGUGUGGAGUCUGACCUGUUAAAAGACAGUAUGUGCUUAUUUAAAUCGUGAAGUGUCACUGAGUACCAGCAAUAAAAACAUAUCUGUAAAACAUCAACCAAAAUAGUACCAAAUAUAUCCAUUUAAAGGAAUGCUUUGUGUCCCUCCGUUUCCUUAGACCUGCACAUGAUCUGUCUGCGGAUCGGUUACUGUCGCGGAAAGGUGGCAGCGGGCAGUUCUCAUGUAAGAAAAUACAAAUUGUAUGCUUGGUUUGUGCCAACUUCUGAUUUUGUGUGUGUGUGUGUUACGUUGUAUGUGAUUAUCGGUGUUCUAUUCUAAAUUUGAUUAAUUUGAAAUCAAGAUGGUGGGUGCAGAAAAAUAUUUGCAAGUAAGUUUUGUAUUAUUUCAUAUUCUUCUGGUUUCACUCUGGCCAUAUUCCUUCUGUAACAGAUUUCUUCAAACAUUCUGAGAAAUAAGUUAAUGGGCAGGAGCAUUUGAUGAACAUCAAAUUAACUUCCUCUAACAACCAAUAAAUGAGGUGACACGCUUAAAUUGUGUUUGCUCUGCAAAUUUGCUUUUUGUUUUUUAUUUAAACUACACGAAUAAAAG